GCCGUGUCGGACUGAUUGGGAAACUCUUCAAAUUAUUCUGAUAUACCGAGAAAAGCUUCUGUUCUUAAUGGCGGGCCACAUUCCUUCGGGAUAGCAUUCAGCCGGUGGAUUACAAAGGGGGCGAGCACUCAAAUCUUGUUCUAUCAGAGUUUCAUCACACUCACGGCACGGCUUCUU
This 177-nucleotide small RNA is filed under the name uncultured Bacteroides sp. RNAcentral describes it as "Bacteroidales-1 6S-Bacteroidales RNA suggested". It matches the Rfam family "Bacteroidales-1 6S-Bacteroidales RNA suggested". Lineage: Bacteria; Pseudomonadati; Bacteroidota; Bacteroidia; Bacteroidales; Bacteroidaceae. The record is from RNAcentral.